UUUGAAAAAUUUUUGUAAAUAAUGUGAAACUAGUCUUGUAUUGCGUAUAUUCUUAUUUAAUUGGGAGGCUGAAGGGUACCCAUCAUUUAUUAAAAUCAAAAAAUAUAUACAGAGUCAAGGAAAAGAGUGGACUGGCCUAUAUUUUUGUGAAUCCUAUAAAAUUGUACAAGAUUGCUCUAAACCGGAACAAUUUCAGUUGUAUGAGGAGAAGACUAGCUGAGUACGGCUAUCCAUGGAGGUCUAUGAUAUGUUAAUUAGAUUCAAAAACGAUUCAAAGUAUAGGGUAUGGAUAUAAAAAUUAAACCCAACAAGCUAUUAGGUUUGGACUUGGUCCCUCUUUUAGAUACACAUAAUUUUUAUUUUUUCUUUAUCAUUAUCUUUUCAUAUUUCUCAGUUCAUAAUAUGGUAUUUUAUGUACGUUAACAAAAUUCAAAAGAAAAGGUCUAAAAGUAUAGCAAAAUAACUUGUUGAAUAUCUAAUUUUCAUUUGAGACCCGAUGUAAUACCUGAUCCUUUUUUUGGACAAUAUUGGUUAUGGACAAAGAGUUUUAGUUGGAUUUGAAUUUGGGAUUGGACCUAAUAUACAUAAUACAUGUACUUUGUGUUUGGGUAUGGAUAUGAGUGAAACUGACAGCAAUUGACCCAAUCCAAGUGCAAGUACCAAUGAUCUAUCUUCCUUUCUCCAACAUCAAAUUCCUAAUUCCUUCUCACCUACAGGUCAGCAUGAGCCAGGUGUAGAUAUAUAUUAUCAUUUUGUUACAUCAUAAACUUUAAGCAAUGGACCCAAUACAUCUAAAUGUAAGUAUCAAUGAUCUAUCUUCCAUUCUCCAACAUCAAAUUCCUUCCUUCCCACCUAAAGGUCAGCAUUAGCUAGGUAUAGAUAUAUAUUAUCAUUUUCUUACAUCAUAAACUUUAUUACAUUAGCAUACUAUAUUUUCAUCAAAAAAAGAUAGGUUAGCAUAUUAUAUU
Molecule: long non-coding RNA, 968 nt
Filed under: Elaeis guineensis (African oil palm)
Lineage: Eukaryota; Viridiplantae; Streptophyta; Magnoliopsida; Arecales; Arecaceae
Description: long non-coding RNA (EGUI_LNC075681)
Source: RNAcentral